Molecule: ribosomal RNA, 301 nt
Filed under: uncultured bacterium
Lineage: Bacteria
Description: partial 16S ribosomal RNA
Rfam family: Bacterial small subunit ribosomal RNA
Source: RNAcentral
CAGUAGCCGCGGUAAAACGUAGGGUGCAAGCGUUAAUCGGAAUUACUGGGCGUAAAGCGUGCGCAGGCGGUUAUAUAAGACAGAUGUGAAAUCCCCGGGCUCAACCUGGGAACUGCAUUUGUGACUGUAUAGCUAGAGUACGGCAGAGGGGGAUGGAAUUCCGCGUGUAGCAGUGAAAUGCGUAGAUAUGCGGAGGAACACCGAUGGCGAAGGCAAUCCCCUGGGCCUGUACUGACGCUCAUGCACGAAAGCGUGGGGAGCAAACAGGAUUAGAUACCCCAGUAGUCCCUGUCUCUUAUAA